Molecule: long non-coding RNA, 7834 nt
Filed under: Triticum aestivum (bread wheat)
Lineage: Eukaryota; Viridiplantae; Streptophyta; Magnoliopsida; Poales; Poaceae
Description: long non-coding RNA (TAES_LNC002123)
Source: RNAcentral
AUAUAUCAAGGUGAAAAAGUACAGGAAUCGCGGGCUGGCUUUCGGUCAUAAGACCGACUUCUACUGCAUCCAGCAACCACGCACUAGUAUGGCUGAUGGAUUCUACCUCAUGCAUCACCUGCUUGAGUACAGAAGGGAUAAUCAAUGUCUUCGCAUGUCACCUACUACCAACGAUGCCGAGAUUGUCAGCUGGGCCACAAGCAUAGGAAGGACACCGGAUCAUCAAAUCAGAGCUGAGUUUUAUCACGUACAGUGUGAAUUUGCCCAAGUGAUCAUGAAGCGGGUCCUCGAACCAACAGGGAUGUUCUACCAUGGGCCAAUCACGCGGGAAGAUGUCCGAGCACUGCUACUCGCUCAGCGUCUGGACCUGAAGCCUUUCAAGAAGCUCGGGUGCUUACUCCCUGACUAUGAAGAUUGGACCGCCGACAUGAAGGACUGAUUGUUGAUGAGAAUGUGUCACUACUGUCUUUCUAUGGCAAAACUUUGAAUUUAUGCAUGGCGAAACUAUGUGAUGUAACUAAACCGUGGUCCUGAUCUAGCGUAGAUCGCUCUAGUUAAUUAGUUUGGGUAUGAGGAACUUUGUCGUUUAUGUUUACUAUUGGUUGCUUGUAUUUUGCUAAUUAUGCCUCCUUGUUUUCUUAAGUACAUUAUGUUGCAUAUUAUCGUUCAAUUCAUUAACUCACGAUGCAGGUACAUAGAUCAGAGAUGGCGAAGGACUACUAUGCCGUGUACGUUGGGAGUGUUCCAGGAGUCUACGACCACUGGCCAGCCGCUCAGGCCCAGGUGCACAGGUACCCGGGUGCUAGCCACAGAGGGUUCGCGGGAGUUUUGUUUUCCUCCGGACGAGGGUGUGAGAGAAACCUCGACGGAAAGCGGGUGUGUGGGCCAUCGGAUUACGAACCGACGGCUCGGCAGCUGCCAGUUGGGCUUCCCGUGUUUAUUCGUGCUCUAUAAGAAACCCGGUGACACGACAUGCCUCUUUUAGACGAUGGUCGGUAUCUCCGAGACGCCGACAUACCAUAACGGGGAACGUAACGGAGACACGGUUCGCAAGCGUUUCUUCCUCCUCCUGGCAAGGAGGCGCGGGGAAUGUGACGGAGAUAUGGUUCGCAAGCAUUUCUUUCUCCUUCCGGGAGGAAUCACGGGAUCUCGACGGUAAGUGGAUGGGCCAUCGGAUUGCGAUCCGACGGCUCAUGGGGCUUCCCCUCAUGCUCUGUUUUCAGAAACCAGUAGCGGUUCAAAUCUUUUGGCGUGCACACACAGAGAGCACGUGACCCAUCGGGCGCUCCCAAAACAGGGGAAAAGAGGCCUCAAAACGGCACAACGUAACACAAUCCGACACCGCCUCCAACUCUUGGCGGCCGCCACCAUAUCCAAUCCCCAAACCCCCCGCCGUCGCGCCCAAUCGAUCCGCCGCCCCUAAACCCUAGACCAGAAGCGGAAUCGAUCGACCGACCCACCGAGCAAUGCCGCCGCAGUUCCCCGCCGGCAGCGCCAGGCCCUCCUCCGCCUCCGCCGCGCCCGCUGGCGGCGUAAAGAGGCCGUCUUUGCCCCCCACCACCUCCCUCUCUCCGCCGCCGACCAAGAAGAUCGCCCGUCCGGUGUCCGCGCCCUGCCUCCCCGCGCUCUCCAAGAAGGUGCCCCCUCGCCCGACGCCUUCGACCGCGGCCAGGCCGAGGCCGCCGCAGCCCCCGGCGUCGUCGUCGGCGUCGGCGUCGGCGGCGAGGGCCGCCGGGCCGCCCAAGAAGACGGCGCAGCGCCCGGCCGCGGAGGCGGAGGCGGAGGCGGCCCCGGGCCGCGCGGCCGAGAGCGUGCACCCGGCGCGGCGGCUGGCGUGCGGGACGGCCGUGUACGUGCGCACGCGCUACUACGUGGUGAUCGCCGACGGGACCGGCAGGUGCUGCCUCCUCAUCUGGCUGCCCGCCAGGGUCGUCUCCUCCUCCGACGCCUACCACUGCAGCGUCAAGUACGCCGCCGACCUCCACGCCAUGUUCGCCGGCAAGAUCGUCCGCGUCCCCGUCACCGACGUCCGCGUCGCGCCCAACCACCAUCCCUCCACAGCCGCCCAGAGCCAGAGGCCCCAACAACAGGCGCCCUGAGCCGAGUCGACACCGGCCAAGUCCAAGAAUCGCCCCCAAGAGCAAGCUUCGCGUGCCCCUGGCGAAGCCAAGAAACGCCGUGCUUGCUGACGGGCUGCUAAUCAAUCCCAUGGGCCGAUCGAUCAAGAUAGCAGAGGCCUGAUAAUGCCAAGAUUUUUGUUUCUUUUUCAGUUCUUUUGCUCGUCUUGACUCGAGAUUUUGCAGCGCCCAAAUCGGCAGUGAGAACUACCGUACAGAUGUCUGAGUUAAAUCUUAGUUUAUCAGCACAUUGGUUUCAGUUUCGAUUCCUAUCUAUGUUGAUCAUUCCAGUUUUGAUCUCGGUGAGGUGAAUGAUCCUGCUUAUACAAUCUUGUCGGUUCAAAGCUAAUCUUGCUAUCCCGCUUGAGGAAUUUGCUCUUUUCGUUAUGAUGGGGGGCAACAAUUGCCUCUGUUUCCUGAAUCUUCUCUAUUGAAAGCUAUUCUUGGCAUCUGCUUAGUUGAUCAGCACAUUGGUUUCAGUUUCGAUUCCUCUGUUGAUCAGUCCAGUUUAGAUCUGUUCCUGCUUGAAGAGUUUGUUCUUCUUUUGGUCAUGGGGCGUAAUCGUCUCUGCUUUUCGAAUUUUCAUCACUCUUUCCUUAAUGUUUCAGUUCAUUUUGCCAAAAAAGGAGCUCCUGUUAUCUUGACUGGCGCAAAUACUGGCCAAGUUUUGAAUGGCAUGAUCAUGUUACCGGAUGGUUCAAUACAAUUCAAACACAUUUGUCACAAGGAUUCAUGUGAAAUCAUGCUGAAUAGUAGGAGCAUCUUGAUUGUAAGCGUUGCACUUAACUGCAAACAUGAAAAAUGACACAUCAUUCAGAAUCAGAUAAAAAUCUGGGAGCGCGCACACUCGGUUCAGUUUAGAUUCUUUUUUCAGCCCAGUGGUUUCAGGCUUUCAGUUUUGAUCUCCGGUGAUCCUGCUUAUACAAUCUUCUCGAUUAAAAGCUAUUCUUGCUAUCUUGCUAAGAAUGUCAUUUUGGUUAUGGGGUGCAAUUGUCUCUGUUUUUUGAAUGGGAAAAUUUUGUUUUUGCCACUCUAGAUAGAUUUUGCCAAUUUUCCUUAUGCAAAUUUUGACAUUUCACUUUUGCCACUCUUAGUUUUUGACAAUUAUCUGAAUUGCCGUUCCGGUGGCAAAAGCAAAAAUUUUGGAGUGGCGAUUGUGAUACAUUUCAAAAGCUAAGAGUGGCAAAAAUGAAAUAAAAUUAUACUGCUUUUGCCACGGAAUGGCAAUUGUGAUAACUCUCAAAAGCUAAGAGUGGCAACAGUGAAAUGUCAAAAUCUAGAGUGGCAUAAGGAAAAUUGGCAAAAUCUAGAGUGGCAAAAACAAAAUUUUCCCUUUUUGAAUUGCAUGAUGGCAUCGACCGAGUAUUUACUCGGUCGAUCGUGUAUAGUUAUUCGAUCCCUUUCGCGUAAAACGAACUAUAGUUUGGUCCUGCCGCUGAAAAGGAGCUUCAUUGAUUUUAUUCCAGUAGGCUACUCUCCUAUCUUGGAUUCCCUCUUAUAUCUUCCACCACUUGAAUCACGCGAAUACUCCCCAUGUUUUGAAUUACAUGUGCAUCGGAUGCUUUUUGUUUGACACCGAAUCAUGUGAAGUACAUCAUGAGAACAUGAUGCUGUAAGCGUUGCACUGCAAUGCAAAACUUGGGAGAAACGGGGCCUGUCAUAGGAAGCCAAAAUGACAGGUCAAAUAAUUUUCACAAUUGGUGCAGCGGAAUCUAAAAAUCAUUGAAAAUUCGAAAUGUGCUCGGAAUUAAAAAAAACUACAUCAUAAAAUAUAAGUUGUUAAAAAUAUUAAUCAUGUGUUUGAAAAAUGUAUAUCUAUAUCAAUAUAAAAAGACCCAAAUGGGCAGAUCCAAACCAUCUCGACCGUUAAAUCAUGUUAUCUAGCGGUUUAAAUCGCUGUAAUGUUGAGCACCAAACACAUUUAACGCUCUAAGUACCCAUCAUUACCAUUGAUUAUAAAUACGUUUUGACUCAACGCUAUUCCUUGAAAUCUGCCAUGUAAUUAAUAUCUUACCAUUCCCGUGAAAAAGUAAUUGAUAUCUUACCAAAUACCAACGUGUAACAGAUAUAUCUUACCUAAUAUAACGUGCAACUAAUGUCCUACCUAAUAUAAAUAUGCAUUGCACGUACAUUAUUACUAGUAAAACUAAAAAAGAAACAAAGGAAAACUAAAAAGUAGAAAAAGAAAGCAAGAAGGAAAGAAAAGUAAAAAAAUCGGUAAAUAUUGUGAAAGAAAUGAACAAAACGAGGAAAAAACAUAAAACUGAUGAAGGAAAAAAGAAAAAUUAUUAAAAAAAUGAAAGAGAUAAAGAUGGGUGAAACCAGUACGUUUUUUUUUUUUUUGAGUCUGGGUGAAACCAGUACGUAGAACAAGUGACUCAGCAGUCGCGCUAACGGGCCGGCCCUUAUGCGCGGACCAUUCAGGCGAGACGAAUGAUAUCCUCGCUGAAAGCGAGAUAUAGUACUCGCGUCGCCGCAUGCCCGCAUCGCCAUCGGAAGCAACCACCGCAUGAUCCGGCGUGGUUGCCGUUCUCUGCAGUAAGCCAACUGUUGCAUGCACAGUUCCGCCCAUCGUCUCUUUGUGAUCAGUGAUAACAGAUUAUUAUUUUCAUUUCUUAAUUUGUACUCCCUCUAAACAAAUGUAAGAGUGUUUAGAUAACUAAAGUAAUGAUCUAAACGCUCUUAUAUUUCUUUACAGAGGGAGUAUCUGAUUUGGAGAACAAUAGGUAAAUAAUUGCUUGGUUAAUUUUUUUUAGCUAGGCUAAUUUAUUCGUGCAAGUAACCCCGCAAAAAAUAUAUAUUCGUGCAAGUAAAGGAAGACGUCAUCAUUUCUCUUUCAAAAUGGGGUGAUCAUAGGGUUAUAUUAUAAUUCUCCCUGUUCUUUCCAUGUAGCUAAAUUAUUGGAGAUAUUGCUGCUACAAAGAAGAAUAAUUUCAUAGUUUUGCUAUCAAAUUUUUAUGUCUUACAUCUUUGUGCAAAAAUAAAAAUAAAAAUACUCCACAUACCCAUAUCGAAAAUCCUGACCCCUCCCCCUCCACCCAAUUAUAUGCAUGCGGCUGACCAAUUUGGAAUGUUGCACAAAUCUUUGCUAUCCGCAUACAACUCCGCAAACAUAUGAGAGAUACAAUUUGUCACUUGCCCUCUUUAAGGCUCAACGCAUCGUCAUCCAGACAUAUGUCCGCGGACCUAUGGGAGCUGAAAUUUGACAUUUGCGCUUGAAGAUUACUAAUGACACCCAUUUUACCGUCAAUGUCCAUUGAUGCCAUAGCACAAAAACGGUUGUUCCUAUCGGCUCCGGCGUCGCUCAUGAUUGGGAGGCUUGAGAGGCGACCAUGUAAGUCUGUUUAGUGCUCGAUUUCAGGAGCGAAACUUCAAAACAACAAAAUAAGGCCACAAAGCACGGGUGUAUAAAAUACAAGUCCUCCUAAAAUAGAAAACUAGGAAUUCUAGAUACCCUUGAGGCAAAGCGAAACCAAUGGCAAUCACAAAGUUUAAUGUCUUCGUGCAGGUUUAACCUUGUCGAUAACAACCGGAAAGUCUUCGGGCAGGCGGCCCUAAGGAGCAGCGCCCUGGAGCCGUAGUUGUUGCCAUUGAACCCUCGAAUAGGAAUUACAAUUGGAUUAUUUGGUCUAAUGGUUAUAGUCAUGAUCAUUCUAAUAUGGGGACAAACGAUAGUCCAAAAGGCAAGAUUGAACAAAGUUAAGGAGUACUAUUUUCCUCAGCACUGAGGUGCUUUUGUUUUAUAGGAUGAAACUAGAGAAAGGUCUUUCUUUCAGUGUAUUUUCAGAAGUUGAACUCAUACAUGCAACCGACAACUUUGACAAUAGCAGAAUACUUGGAAAAGGGGGGCAUGGGACGGUCUAUAAAGGGAUAACAAAUAGUAACAUGCAUGUUGCAAUUAAAAGAUGUGGAUUAGUUGACGAGAGGCAAAAGGAAUUUGGGCAAGAGAUGCUCAUUUUGUCCCAAUUCAAUCACAAGAAUAUCGUUAAGCUUUUGGGUUGCUGCCUUGAGGUGGAAGUUCCAAGUCUAGUAUAUGAUAUGAGUUUGUUCAAAGUGGUAUCCUAUUUGAGCUUAUUCAUGUCAAGAACCAAGCGCUGCAAAUCUCCUUCAGGACCCUCUUAAGAAUUGCUCAUGAAGCAAACGAAAAGACUCAGCUUCCUGCAUUCCUAUGCAUCUCCCCCAAUAAUUCAUGGCGAUGUGAUCUCCCCCAAUAAUUCAUGGCGAUGUGAACACUUCCAACAUCUUUCUUGAUGAUAACUACAUGGCCAAAGUGUCGGACUUUGGAGCCUCCAUACUAGCCCCAUCUGACAAAGAGCAGUUUGUCACUAUGGUUCAGGGUAAUUGUGGAUAUCUUGAUCCUGAAUACAUGCAAGUUAAUCGACAAAAGGAUUAUUGUCGGUGACUUUCCUAUCCGCUACAAAAGAGAACAAUCUAUAUGCAAUGCUGGCGAGCCACGUGAAAGGCCAAGAAAGAAAGCAUGGCAUUGUUGAGAGGAAUUGCGGACCUAGCUAAGAAAUGCCUAGAUAUGUGUGAUGGCCUUCCAUGAAAGAGGACGCCAAUGAGCUCAAUAGAUUGAGGAAGCUUUCAAUACAUCCUUGAGCUCAGUUGGACGUGGAGACGGAUGCAGAGAGCCAGUGGUCAUGAAAUAGAGUCCAGCGGGUAUGCUAUUGGUGAAAGUGACAACCAACAUAUAAGCCCAAGAGGUAACAUAUACAGAGAGGUUAUUUCAUCAGCACAUGCAUGUUGGCAAGAUGAAAACAGCGUGUGCCGUCAGCUGUAAUGGCAAGAUGAAAACAGAUCCUGAAGCUCAGUGUUAACAGUAGUGACAGAACUACAAUCAAUCCGAGGGAUGAGGUCCUAAGUUGUACAGUACAAUCCCCAGGGUAGGGCAUACGGUAGACAUUACCAGAAUGAGCAACGACCUAGAUUUUCAGACUAGAUUUCGAGAAGAAUUCGAGAUCAUGCUCACUUGCUCGCUUGGUAACUAAGGGAUUGAGGGGCCAGGAAGAAAUAUAUAGGGACCGUGGCCAAGAGAGCGCAAGAUAGAAUGAUCAGUCAAAAUCUGACUCUCCCCUAUUCGAGGCAAACUUCUAUGUGCAACAAGCAACCAGAAUGCGCCUACAUUGAUCAGAUCAGAAUGUAGGUUUCAGUAGAACAAAUACAGACAUGGUAAUGCAACUUUUCAUCAAUAACAAAAGACUUCAAAAUGCUGCUACAUGCAUCCGAAUUUCAGGCUUUGUUGAGCUAGGCCAAGUUUCAGUAUUGUUAGAUUGCGAGUGAACCAACCAGCAGGGUGUCAUCAUCAAAAGCAGAUAAGAGGAAUCCAUUGGCAUCAUGACAAUCAGAUCUUAUACAGUAGGAACAUCUUUGAUAUCAAGCUAAGGAGAAUCUGAAAGCAAUCUGAGCACGCCUAAUGUCAAGGAGACCACACACUAGAGCAAAACUCACCAAAGGCUGGAGCUCAGGUAUAUUGUGAACCAAUCAACUAAAAAGCGGUAUGCAAUCAUCAUCAAAAAGCAGCUAAAAAGGAAUCCACUGGCAACUCAGCAUUCAUAACUCGGAUAAAAACUCGGGAGAAACUAAAAGUUUCCAACUGCAGCAAAUACAGAAGGCCUAGGAGAGGGAGCAAAACAGGGCCGUCAUAGAAAACCAUGACCACAUAGCAAUUCAGGUCAAGUAACGCUUCGCUAUUGGUGGGGCGGAGUCUAUGAGAUCAG